This 253-nucleotide ribosomal RNA is filed under the name uncultured bacterium. RNAcentral describes it as "partial 16S ribosomal RNA". It matches the Rfam family "Bacterial small subunit ribosomal RNA", at positions 524 to 776 of the family's 1533-position model. The record is from RNAcentral.
UACGUAGGGUGCGAGCGUUGUCCGGAAUUAUUGGGCGUAAAGAGCUCGUAGGCGGUGUGUCACGUCGUUCGUGAAAACCUGCAGCUUAACUGUGGGCGUGCGGGCGAUACGGGCAGACUGGAGUACUGCGGGGGAGACUGGAAUUCCUGGUGUAGCGGUGGAAUGCGCAGAUAUCAGGAGGAACACCGGUGGCGAAGGCGGGUCUCUGGGCAGUAACUGACGCUGAGGAGCGAAAGCGUGGGGAGCGAACAGG